RNAcentral lists this ribosomal RNA (710 nucleotides) under Arthrobacter sp. SMCC B0692. RNAcentral describes it as "bacterial SSU rRNA". It matches the Rfam family "Bacterial small subunit ribosomal RNA", at positions 17 to 742 of the family's 1533-position model. Lineage: Bacteria; Bacillati; Actinomycetota; Actinomycetes; Micrococcales; Micrococcaceae. The record is from RNAcentral.
ACAUGGCUCAGGAUGAACGCUGGCGGCGUGCUUAACACAUGCAAGUCGAACGAUGAUGCCAGCUUGCUGGUGGAUUAGUGGCGAACGGGUGAGUAACACGUGAGUAACCUGCCCUUGACUCUGGGAUAAGCCUGGGAAACUGGGUCUAAUACCGGAUAUGACUGAUCAUCGCAUGGUGGUUGGUGGAAAGCUUUUGUGGUUUUGGAUGGACUCGCGGCCUAUCAGCUUGUUGGUGGGGUAAUGGCCUACCAAGGCGACGACGGGUAGCCGGCCUGAGAGGGUGACCGGCCACACUGGGACUGAGACACGGCCCAGACUCCUACGGGAGGCAGCAGUGGGGAAUAUUGCACAAUGGGCGAAAGCCUGAUGCAGCGACGCCGCGUGAGGGAUGACGGCCUUCGGGUUGUAAACCUCUUUCAGUAGGGAAGAAGCGUAAGUGACGGUACCUGCAGAAGAAGCGCCGGCUAACUACGUGCCAGCAGCCGCGGUAAUACGUAGGGCGCAAGCGUUAUCCGGAAUUAUUGGGCGUAAAGAGCUCGUAGGCGGUUUGUCGCGUCUGCCGUGAAAGUCCGGGGCUCAACUCCGGAUCUGCGGUGGGUACGGGCAGACUAGAGUGAUGUAGGGGAGACUGGAAUUCCUGGUGUAGCGGUGAAAUGCGCAGAUAUCAGGAGGAACACCGAUGGCGAAGGCAGGUCUCUGGGCAUUAACUG